This 343-nucleotide long non-coding RNA is filed under the name Nicotiana tabacum (common tobacco). RNAcentral's name for it is "long non-coding RNA (NTAB_LNC005653)". Lineage: Eukaryota; Viridiplantae; Streptophyta; Magnoliopsida; Solanales; Solanaceae. The record is from RNAcentral.
AACUUAAAUGUAUUCCCGCAUUAUACUGGUGGGCGACCUAGAACUCAAAUGUAUUCCCACAUUAUACUGGUGGGCGACCUAGAACUUAAAAGUAUUCCCGCAUUAUACUGGUGGGCGACCUAGAACUUAAAUGUAUUCCCGCAUUAUACUGGUGGGCGACCUAGAACUUAAAUGUAUUCCCGCAUUAUACUGGUGGGCGACCUAGAACUUAAAUGUAUUCCCACAUUAUACUGGUGGGCGACCUAGAACUUAAAUGUAUUCCCGAAUUAUACUGGUGGGCGACCUAGAACUUAAAUGUAUUCCCGCAUUAUACUGGUGGGUGACCUAGAACUUAAAUGUAUUC